This is a long non-coding RNA of Zophobas morio, 1234 nucleotides long. RefSeq lists it as uncharacterized. The transcript has 5 exons. NCBI's taxonomy places the organism in Eukaryota, Metazoa, Arthropoda, Insecta, Coleoptera, Tenebrionidae. The record is from RefSeq and is a predicted model, not a curated record.
ACCCUUAUCGCCUGCCUGCUCUACCAUAAGCUGAUUGUUAGGCCCGGUUUUACAAAUGUCCGGUUCAACACGAGUUCAACUGAACUUGAGUUCAACUGAACUGAGGUUCAAUUCAUGCGUCCGUUUUACAAACACCGCUAUCGUCCGGUUCAGCUGAACCACAAAUUUCCUUAGGUUGGUAGCGCGCACCCGAGAAUCUGACAGUUGAGACCACGUUGGGAGCACGUUGGAAGUGUGUUGUUGUUGUCAUCUAUGUCAUCAUGUCACAUUAUUAUAAAUUAUUUGUGACAAAUUCUGCAAAGUAAUUAGUUUUUUGCGUUACUGGGAUGAGUAAUACACGUGCUCCGAAUUUUACAAAAUCCGAAGAAAACUUGCUCCUAUCUUUAGUAAGCAAGUAUAGAAAUAUUCUGGAGUGUAAAUUGUCCAACACUGAUGCAAAUCAAAAAAAAAAAAAAUCAGUGUUGGAAGAAAAUUGAAGUAGAGUUCAAUUCUUUAUCUGGCCAGACCUUCCGGGAUCACAAAGUUUUGAACAAAAAGUACGACAACAUUAAGAAGAGGACAACGAAAAAAUUUGCUGACGAGAAAGCCUAUGUCGGUGGUACUGGGAGAGGGUCACAACAAAGUAUUGAGGCCACCGAUGUUGAUGUGGCUGUAAAAGAAAUUCUCGGGGCCAAACCAAUGGGGCAUAGCAGCGAAUUUGAUGGCGAUUCCGAAACAACCUCAUUCCAAAGUAACAGCGGUAUAAUCUGUCUGAUGACGAAAAUGAUGAUCAAACCGGAGCAAUUUCGAGAGAAGUGCCUGUUAUGGAUAAAAUAAGUGGUCCCAAUAAAGAAAGUGGUAAACAUUAAUAAUAAUCAAAUAUGGUUAUUUUUGUAGAAAAUGGUCAAACUGGGAAUUGGGCUAAAUACUCCCCCAAAAUCUUGAAGCAAAAAAAAUUUUCAGCACUCACGCCAUAUCGUAGAGGUAAAGGAAACCAGACAAGUGAUAAUUUAGAGCAAUGUGCCGCUGCCAAAGAACUUGUCGAACUAAGUCGAAAGGAAUACAUCCAAAAGGAGCAAGAGUUUAAAUUAAAAGCCAUGAAAGAGAAACAUGAACUAGAAAUGCAAAUUAUGAGAGACAAAGCUGCACUUGAAUUAGAAGUAAUAAAGCAGAACACCAAAUGAAGAUUGAAAUAUUAAUUGCCCAAAAAUUUAAUAUUUUAAAUAAUAAAACUUAAAUAAAUAAUUACAUUACA